CUAUACGCUUGGUGUACUUGGUUAUCGUGACUGGCGACUUGAGUCUAUCUCAUCUCAUUUCCAAAGCGCGGUGGCUGGGUCCCAGGCAUGCUUGCCACUUUGUUCCACGGUCCUCAUCUAAGUUUCGACGGUGAUGACAUGGACUUAGGUUCAAGGAACGUGAUCCCCUUGAGUCAUUGUGGUUGAUUGAUGGGGGCAAUAGACGGUUGCGUGUCGCUAGUCAUUCAAUUGGUCCCCUUGUUUUAGAGUGUUGGCGGGAUAAGUCUUACGACUGUUAACAAUAGUAAGCAAUAGCCGGCCGGCGACCCCCUACCUGAUCUCGAGGGGGAUGGAAUGACUGGGGAAUAGGCCUGUUGUUAACCUGCGGAAUUUCGUCGGACGAAAUGUCAGGCGUGUCCGUGUGGGACUUGUGCUAAACCAGUUUAGUACAUAUGACGAAGACAUUGGGCUCUUUGAAUAACAACAGUGUCCUUGACCUCCUUGUGCCUCACAAAGCUAAUGAUAUACACCCCCUGAAAUCGACAAGACGGCGAUGAAGAAGGAGAGCCGGCCUCCAGCUUGUCAGCCGAGAAGACACUGGAUGGACCCCAAGGAUAUGUUGCUGCCAAUGUUGGAGCCAUACAGGGCAGCCCGAACCAACAUUGUACAAGGGCCACAAGGACAAGGGACAGAAGAAUAAGGGACACAAAAGCCGAUGUUGCAGUCUACAGGGCUAUGCAGAUGACUGGAGAUGAUGGCUGUUGAGUUGACCCAAUGACUUCCACCACGAUCUACGAUGCGUACUGAAGCAAGAACGACGCUCAAAGACCCGAAAAACAACAGAUGUCAACACUUUGCCCCAUGAUAAGAUGCCUUCAUACUCAUCCAUCAACAAUUUGGGGAAGACAGCCUAAUUGACCUUCAUGGGGAUCUUCCUGGCAGAUGUUGUAUGAGGAAGGAUUCAAUGCGUAUACACCAUGCUUGGAUGAGGGUCUGAGAGUCGGGUAGAUUCAAUGGAUGGAAUCAUUUCGCUCAGGGAUAUCGGCAGUGGACACUUACAUCGUGUGUCAUUCGAAUAGACUUGACAAUCGAAAUGAUGCUCUAAGGGGACUCUGAUGACUCUAAGGACAUAGAGCCCUUCUCAUGAUGUAAUGUGACGCCAUAUCCAGCAGCCAUCGUGGAGCCAGCUCAUCUCUUACAUAUGGAAGGAUGCCAUCUCAUACGGAGAUGAGCCAUCCCACAGAAGGGAGGAUGUUGCUGAGCCAGCGCAUCUCUACCAUGCUCCCGUUGCCGUCAAGGAGGUUGGAUUUUUGUCACCGUAGGCCUUACCCUUUUAUUGCAAUAUAUGAUUGAAGGUGAUUCGAUAAAAAUCCUGAUACUUUAUUUUCUGAUUGCGAGAAGGCAAUUAUUUGCCUUCUUUUGGGCAAUGACAAACCUUUGCCAUGGCCCAAAUUCGUACACAUUUAAAGAAGAGUUUAGAAAAUUUGGGGGAGGGUGUCAUAAGGUAACCAGGGGAAUCCGGGCACGUCACAAGUCACAAGCCAGAAAAAUCAAAAUGUGGAGGGGAUGUCCUGGCUAACAGGACAGCCAACAGUUGGUACCCAAACAAAACAUUCGCCAUAGCGAACGGUACGGUACAUUGGGACCCUACCGGCUGCUUCAGAUUUGUUUCAAGCAAAAAGAUCUUUCUACUUGAAAAAUCACCGAAUUCAUCAUAUAUUGUAUUUGAUUAUGUCCAUCACAUGAGACAUGGGGUUCACAUGACAUUCGCUUUGCUCUAACCCCAGGCAAAGCGAAUGAACAUGUGUGUCUUGAUGGAGCUGUAGGCCUUUUUACUGUUUCUUGAUCUCUUCAGUACCACAGAAUCCACCGGCAUUUAAACACCACCUGGGCCCAGUCGCCAAAGAUCCUUCAUUGGCUGGCUCAGUUGCUCAGUGUCUUAACCUUCAUACUUUAGACAACUGACCAACAACACAAAUCUAGUGAAUUUUUAUUUCCUCGUCACUUUUUAAUCAAUACCCGUGAACGAAAAAAUCUCGGGAUGCAAAACAACUUUUCACCAAUUUAACUGAUAAGCUUUGUCAAUAAACCUAUUGUUUUAUUGAGAUUAUCGGAAUAAGACUGGUUCUUGAUCCUACCUAUAGCGGUCUCACAGGAAAGAAUCUUAGUCUUUUUCUUUGUUUCGAUUCAAGAAGACUUUCAUUGCAAGAGCAUAAUUAUCAUGUUCUGCAGGUUAUGAAAGAUAUCAUUUUGCCCCAUCAAGAACAUUUUUAUUGGACUUGGUACUGAAUGAUUUGAGAAAAGUGUAACGUCAAAAUGUAAGACGUUUUAUAUUGUCAUAUAAUGUUAUUAUAUUUGUAAUGCAUGUAAAUCUUGUAAGUAAAAUAAAAGAGAUCUAAGACUCAACUUGCAAAAAACCUGGCAGACCACAACAUUCAGUCUUGCCAGGUCAAAGCUAACCUGCUAGACCAACAUCCAGUCUUCCCAGGUCAAGGCUAACCUCUUUUGUCAUGCAAAUACAUGUCACCUAUGCUCCUUUUGUCAUGCUAAUUGGCAGCCUCUGUCCAGUUCCUGGCCAUGAGAAAUGUGGUUCUUUUGUUAUUCAAAUUGGGCCCUAAACCUGUUUAGUCAUGAAUUAAUGAGAGCAGUGACCUAACCUAUUGUUCACUGAACAUGGCUUAACAUAAGUCAUACACAAUAGGUUUUAAUACAUGUACAGUAGCUAAAGUUGUACAGAAUGUAUAUGGACAUGAUGAAUGCAUCCAGAGGUUAAGUGCUCAUUGUUGGAAUUUUGAGUCAUCUAGUGUAAGAUCUCUAUUCAGCAGUGUCUUUUUUGGACAUUUUAAAGGAGGAGAACAUGUGUGAUAGUACAAUUAUCUCCAUGUCUCGUCCUUUAAUGGGCAUUGGAGUGGCACAGUGACUAUGAUCGAUGUAAUGUACAUGUAUGAAGUCAUUAUGGUCGUAAGCGCUGUGCCUGUCACGUGUGUGAUGGAGUUGACGACUCCCUCCGAUUGCGUAGGUUUUCUCCCGUUGAAACGGUUUUCCUCCUACACUGACUUUCCAAGUUGUCAUGUGAGGAUAAUUCUUGGAAUGUGCAACA
Lineus longissimus is the source of this 3079-nucleotide long non-coding RNA. RefSeq lists it as uncharacterized. The record is from RefSeq and is a predicted model, not a curated record. NCBI's taxonomy places the organism in Eukaryota, Metazoa, Nemertea, Pilidiophora, Heteronemertea, Lineidae. The transcript is spliced from 5 exons.